Molecule: ribosomal RNA, 1372 nt
Filed under: uncultured bacterium
Lineage: Bacteria
Description: bacterial SSU rRNA
Rfam family: Bacterial small subunit ribosomal RNA
Source: RNAcentral
GAUGAACGCUGGCGGCGUGCCUAAUACAUGCAAGUCGAGCGAACGGACGAGAAGCUUGCUUCUCUGAUGUUAGCGGCGGACGGGUGAGUAACACGUGGAUAACCUACCUAUAAGACUGGGAUAACUUCGGGAAACCGGAGCUAAUACCGGAUAAUAUUUUGAACCGCAUGGUUCAAAAGUGAAAGACGGUCUUGCUGUCACUUAUAGAUGGAUCCGCGCUGCAUUAGCUAGUUGGUAAGGUAACGGCUUACCAAGGCAACGAUGCAUAGCCGACCUGAGAGGGUGAUCGGCCACACUGGAACUGAGACACGGUCCAGACUCCUACGGGAGGCAGCAGUAGGGAAUCUUCCGCAAUGGGCGAAAGCCUGACGGAGCAACGCCGCGUGAGUGAUGAAGGUCUUCGGAUCGUAAAACUCUGUUAUUAGGGAAGAACAUAUGUGUAAGUAACUGUGCACAUCUUGACGGUACCUAAUCAGAAAGCCACGGCUAACUACGUGCCAGCAGCCGCGGUAAUACGUAGGUGGCAAGCGUUAUCCGGAAUUAUUGGGCGUAAAGCGCGCGUAGGCGGUUUUUUAAGUCUGAUGUGAAAGCCCACGGCUCAACCGUGGAGGGUCAUUGGAAAUUGGAAAACUUGAGUGCAGAAGAGGAAAGUGGAAUUCCAUGUGUAGCGGUGAAAUGCGCAGAGAUAUGGAGGAACACCAGUGGCGAAGGCGACUUUCUGGUCUGUAACUGACGCUGAUGUGCGAAAGCGUGGGGAUCAAACAGGAUUAGAUACCCUGGUAGUCCACGCCGUAAACGAUGAGUGCUAAGUGUUAGGGGGUUUCCGCCCCUUAGUGCUGCAGCUAACGCAUUAAGCACUCCGCCUGGGGAGUACGACCGCAAGGUUGAAACUCAAAGGAAUUGACGGGGACCCGCACAAGCGGUGGAGCAUGUGGUUUAAUUCGAAGCAACGCGAAGAACCUUACCAAAUCUUGACAUCCUUUGACAACUCUAGAGAUAGAGCCUUCCCCUUCGGGGGACAAAGUGACAGGUGGUGCAUGGUUGUCGUCAGCUCGUGUCGUGAGAUGUUGGGUUAAGUCCCGCAACGAGCGCAACCCUUAAGCUUAGUUGCCAUCAUUAAGUUGGGCACUCUAAGUUGACUGCCGGUGACAAACCGGAGGAAGGUGGGGAUGACGUCAAAUCAUCAUGCCCCUUAUGAUUUGGGCUACACACGUGCUACAAUGGACAAUACAAAGGGCAGCGAAACCGCGAGGUCAAGCAAAUCCCAUAAAGUUGUUCUCAGUUCGGAUUGUAGUCUGCAACUCGACUACAUGAAGCUGGAAUCGCUAGUAAUCGUAGACCAGCAUGCUACGGUGAAUACGUUCCCGGGUCU